GAUGAACGCUGGCGGCGUGCCUAAUACAUGCAAGUCGAGCGAACGGACGAGAGGCUUGCUUCUCUGAUGUUAGCGGCGGACGGGUGAGUAACACGUGGAUAACCUACCUAUAAGACUGGGAUAACUUCGGGAAACCGGAACUAAUACCGGAUGAUAUUUUGAACCGCAUGGUUCAAAAGUGAAAGACGGUCUUGCUGUCACUUAUAGAUGGAUCCGCGCUGCAUUAGCUAGUUGGUAAGGUAACGGCUUACCAAGGCAACGAUGCAUAGCCGACCUGAGAGGGUGAUCGGCCACACUGGAACUGAGACACGGUCCAGACUCCUACGGGAGGCAGCAGUAGGGAAUCUUCCGCAAUGGGCGAAAGCCUGACGGAGCAACGCCGCGUGAGUGAUGAAGGUCUUCGGAUCGUAAAACUCUGUUAUUAGGGAAGAACAUAUGUGUAAGUAACUGUGCACAUCUUGACGGUACCUAAUCAGAAAGCCACGGCUAACUACGUG
Molecule: ribosomal RNA, 497 nt
Filed under: uncultured bacterium
Lineage: Bacteria
Description: partial 16S ribosomal RNA
Rfam family: Bacterial small subunit ribosomal RNA
Source: RNAcentral